RNAcentral lists this ribosomal RNA (484 nucleotides) under uncultured bacterium. RNAcentral's name for it is "partial 16S ribosomal RNA". It matches the Rfam family "Bacterial small subunit ribosomal RNA", at positions 30 to 507 of the family's 1533-position model. The record is from RNAcentral.
AUUGGACGCUGGCGGCAGGCCUAACACAUGCAAGUCGAGCGGAUGAAGGGAGCUUGCUCCCGGAUUCAGCGGCGGACGGGUGAGUAAUGCCUAGGAAUCUGCCUGGUAGUGGGGGAUAACGUCCGGAAACGGGCGCUAAUACCGCAUACGUCCUGAGGGAGAAAGUGGGGGAUCUUCGGACCUCACGCUAUCAGAUGAGCCUAGGUCGGAUUAGCUAGUUGGUGGGGUAAAGGCCUACCAAGGCGACGAUCCGUAACUGGUCUGAGAGGAUGAUCAGUCACACUGGAACUGAGACACGGUCCAGACUCCUACGGGAGGCAGCAGUGGGGAAUAUUGGACAAUGGGCGAAAGCCUGAUCCAGCCAUGCCGCGUGUGUGAAGAAGGUCUUCGGAUUGUAAAGCACUUUAAGUUGGGAGGAAGGGCAGUAAGUUAAUACCUUGCUGUUUUGACGUUACCAACAGAAUAAGCACCGGCUAACUUCGUG